RNAcentral lists this ribosomal RNA (451 nucleotides) under uncultured bacterium. Its description in RNAcentral is "partial 16S ribosomal RNA". It matches the Rfam family "Bacterial small subunit ribosomal RNA", at positions 354 to 796 of the family's 1533-position model. The record is from RNAcentral.
GUGAGGAAUAUUGGACAAUGGAUGGAAAUCUGAUCCAGCCAUGCCGCGUGCAGGAAGACGGCCCUAUGGGUUGUAAAGCUCUGUUAUAAGGGACGAACAGCUUUGCUAGGAAAUGAGCAGAGUCUGACGGUACUUUAUCAGAAAGCCACGGCUAACUACGUGCCAGCAGCCGCGGUAAUACGUAGGGGGCAAGCGUUAUCCGGAUUUACUGGGUGUAAAGGGAGCGUAGACGGAAUGGCAAGUCUGAAGUGAAAUCCUGCGGCUUAACUGCAGAAUUGCUUUGGAAACUGUCAAUCUGGAGUGUUGGAGAGGUAAGCGGAAUUCCUGGUGUAGCGGUGAAAUGCGUAGAUAUCAGGAAGAACACCGGAGGCGAAGGCGGCUUACUGGACAAUAACUGACGUUGAGGCUCGAAAGCGUGGGAAGCAAACAGGAUUAGAAACCCUGGUAGUCC